GAUGAACGCUAGCGAUAGGCCUAACACAUGCAAGUCGAGGGGCAGCAUAGAGUAGCAAUACUUUGAUGGCGACCGGCGCACGGGUGAGUAACACGUAUGCAACCUACCUACAUCAGGGGAAUAACCCGGAGAAAUUCGGACUAAUACCGCAUAAUACAGGGAUGCCGCAUGGCAAUAUUUGUUAAAGAUUUAUCGGAUGUAGAUGGGCAUGCGUUCCAUUAGCUAGUUGGUGAGGUAACGGCUCACCAAGGCAACGAUGGAUAGGGGAACUGAGAGGUUUGUCCCCCACACUGGAACUGAGACACGGACCAGACUCCUACGGGAGGCAGCAGUGAGGAAUAUUGGUCAAUGGACGAGAGUCUGAACCAGCCAAAUCGCGUGAAGGAAGACUGCCCUACGGGUUGUAAACUUCUUUUGUACAGGAAUAAAAGACAUUACGUGUAAUGUAUUGCAUGUACUGUACGAAUAAGCAUCGGCUAACUCCGUGCCAGCAGCCGCGGUAAUACGGAGGAUGCGAGCGUUAUCCGGAUUUAUUGGGUUUAAAGGGUGCGCAGGCGGGAUUUUAAGUCAGCGGUGAAAUUUUCAGGCUCAACCUGAACACUGCCGUUGAAACUGGGAUUCUUGAGUAUGGAUGAAGUAGGCGGAAUUCGUUGUGUAGCGGUGACAUGCUUAGAUAUAACGAGGAACUCCGAUUGCGUAGGCAGCUUACUAAGCCAUAACUGACGCUCAAGCACGAAAGCGUGGGGAUCAAACAGGAUUAGAUACCCUGGUAGUCCACGCCGUAAACGAUGAUUACUAGUUGUUUGCGAUAUACCGUAAGUGACUAAGCGAAAGCGAUAAGUAAUCCACCUGGG
This 854-nucleotide ribosomal RNA is filed under the name uncultured Bacteroidales bacterium. RNAcentral describes it as "bacterial SSU rRNA". It matches the Rfam family "Bacterial small subunit ribosomal RNA", at positions 28 to 877 of the family's 1533-position model. The record is from RNAcentral. Lineage: Bacteria; Pseudomonadati; Bacteroidota; Bacteroidia; Bacteroidales.